This is a non-coding RNA of Ataeniobius toweri, 93 nucleotides long. NCBI's taxonomy places the organism in Eukaryota, Metazoa, Chordata, Actinopteri, Cyprinodontiformes, Goodeidae. The record is from the annotation of a GenBank genome assembly.
GCUCCAGUGGUGCGAUCGGUCAGCGUGCGGUACUUCCAGCCCAGUACAUGGUGGGAGAAGCUGAGGUUGUGAGUUCAAGCCUCACCUGCAGCA